Scophthalmus maximus (turbot) is the source of this 456-nucleotide long non-coding RNA. RefSeq lists it as uncharacterized. The transcript is spliced from 3 exons. Lineage: Eukaryota; Metazoa; Chordata; Actinopteri; Pleuronectiformes; Scophthalmidae. The record is from RefSeq and is a predicted model, not a curated record.
UCCUGAACAGGAAACUGAAAUCAUGAACAUGGUCCUAGAAAAUAACGCCAUAACAUUACGAGUCCGUGAGCUCGAGGCGGCUGCAGCGGCACCAGGUCGUCUUCAUUGAUGAGGUUGGAUUCAACCUCACAAAAGACGAAAGAGUUGAAGGAAUAUCAUCGGCCAGCGCGGAGGGAACAUCACAUGUGCAGCGUCCUCAUCACCAUGCUGCCCUUGGCCCCUACAACACUGCCCAUCCGAUCACACUCCUGGACGCCGACACAACACGCUCAUCCAGCAGUGAGGAUUUUUUUCUGCCUGGAGAUGGAAAGUGUAUGACUGAAAUCCACAAACGCGUGUACCCCUUCUCCAAGCUAUGGAAGACGCAUGUGGAGAUGGAGCAGUUGAUGCUGGGUUGGCCUGCUAGGCGACAUUGCUUGUGAUGUGGACGAGGUGCUGUGGCCAGACCCAAACACA